Molecule: small RNA, 81 nt
Filed under: Escherichia coli
Lineage: Bacteria; Pseudomonadati; Pseudomonadota; Gammaproteobacteria; Enterobacterales; Enterobacteriaceae
Description: partial RtT sRNA
Rfam family: RtT RNA
About the family: This family represents a bacterial cis-regulatory element known as RtT RNA. The exact function of RtT is unknown although it is thought that it may be involved in changing the cellular response in relation to amino acid starvation.
Source: RNAcentral
AUUCUGCCCAAGCGGGGAAGGAUGAGAAGCUUCGACCAAGGUUCGACUCGAGCGCCAGCGAGAGAGCGUUGCCGCAGGCAA